AGUGUCAUAGCUUAGUGGUAAAGCGCUAGCUUCACAAACAAGUGAUCGGUGAUUCGAUUCCACCUGGUGCCU
Molecule: transfer RNA, 72 nt
Filed under: Plasmopara halstedii
Lineage: Eukaryota; Oomycota; Peronosporomycetes; Peronosporales; Peronosporaceae
Rfam family: tRNA
About the family: Transfer RNA (tRNA) molecules are approximately 80 nucleotides in length. Their secondary structure includes four short double-helical elements and three loops (D, anti-codon, and T loops).
Source: Rfam by way of RNAcentral